Molecule: ribosomal RNA, 254 nt
Filed under: uncultured bacterium
Lineage: Bacteria
Description: partial 16S ribosomal RNA
Rfam family: Bacterial small subunit ribosomal RNA
Source: RNAcentral
UACGGGGGGAGCAAGCGUUGUUCGGAUUUACUGGGCGUAAAGGGCGCGUAGGCGGUCAGCACAAGUCAGUUGUGAAAUCUCCGGGCUUAACUCGGAAAGGUCAACUGAUACUGUGCGACUAGAGUGCAGAAGGGGCAACUGGAAUUCUCGGUGUAGCGGUGAAAUGCGUAGAUAUCGAGAGGAACACCUGCGGCGAAAGCGGCUUCCUGGUCCAGCACCGACGUUCAGGCACGAAAGCGUGGGGAGCAAACAGG